Molecule: ribosomal RNA, 643 nt
Filed under: uncultured bacterium
Lineage: Bacteria
Description: bacterial SSU rRNA
Rfam family: Bacterial small subunit ribosomal RNA
Source: RNAcentral
GAUGAACGCUAGCGGCAGGCUUAAUACAUGCAAGUCGUGGGGCAGCAGGGGUGUAGCAAUACAUCUGCUGGCGACCGGCAAACGGGUGCGUAACACGUACGCAACCUUCCCGUUACUGUGGCAUAGCCCAGGGAAACUUGGAUUAAUACCACAUAUUAUAUAGAGAGGGCAUCCUUUUUAUAUCAAAGCUUCGGCGGUAACGGAUGGGCGUGCGGUUGAUUAGGUAGUUGGCGGGGUAACGGCCCACCAAGCCUACGAUCGAUAGCUGAUGUGAGAGCAUGAUCAGCCACACGGGCACUGAGACACGGGCCCGACUCCUACGGGAGGCAGCAGUAAGGAAUAUUGGGCAAUGGACGAAAGUCUGACCCAGCCAUGCCGCGUGAAGGAUUAAGGUCCUCUGGAUUGUAAACUUCUUUUCUCUGGGGCGAAAACCAGCUAUUCUUAGCUAUUUGACAGUACCAGAGGAAUAAGCACCGGCUAACUCCGUGCCAGCAGCCGCGGUAAUACGGAGGGUGCAAGCGUUAUCCGGAUUCACUGGGUUUAAAGGGUGCGUAGGUGGGCUAGUAAGUCAGUGGUGAAAUCCCCGAGCUUAACUUGGGAACUGCCGUUGAUACUAUUAGUCUUGAAUAUCGUGGAGGUAAGC